CCUACGUGAGGCAGCAGUGGGGAAUAUUGCACAAUGGGGGAAACCCUGAUGCAGCGACGCCGCGUGAGUGAAGAAGUAAUUCGUUAUGUAAAGCUCUAUCAGCAGGGAAGAAAAUGACGGUACCUGAGUAAGAAGCCCCGUCUAACUACGUGCCAGCAGCCGCGGUAAUACGUAGGGGGCAAGCGUUAUCCGGAUUUACUGGGUGUAAAGGGAGCGUAGACGGCAGUGCAAGUCUGGAGUGAAAGGCGGGGGCUCAACCCCCGGACUGCUCUGGAAACUGUACGGCUGGAGUGCAGGAGAGGUAAGUGGAAUUCCUAGUGUAGCGGUGAAAUGCGUAGAUAUUAGGAGGAACACCAGUGGCGAAGGCGGCUUACUGGACUGUAACUGACGUUGAGGCUCGAGAGCGUGGGGAGCAAACAGGAUUAGAUACCCCGGUAGUC
RNAcentral lists this ribosomal RNA (440 nucleotides) under uncultured bacterium. RNAcentral's name for it is "partial 16S ribosomal RNA". It matches the Rfam family "Bacterial small subunit ribosomal RNA", at positions 338 to 795 of the family's 1533-position model. The record is from RNAcentral.